GGAGGAAGCAUCCAAAGGGAUCGCAUUGAUCCGUCACUCCUUCCAUUCUAUCAUGGGUGGUCGUCGUCUACAAGGACUUCGUUCCCGACGGAUCAUGCGAUCCUUUUGGAGGCUUCCUC
Molecule: microRNA precursor, 119 nt
Organism: Sorghum bicolor (sorghum)
Lineage: Eukaryota; Viridiplantae; Streptophyta; Magnoliopsida; Poales; Poaceae
Rfam family: mir-393 microRNA precursor family
Source: Rfam